Pteropus alecto (black flying fox) is the source of this 980-nucleotide long non-coding RNA. RefSeq lists it as uncharacterized. NCBI's taxonomy places the organism in Eukaryota, Metazoa, Chordata, Mammalia, Chiroptera, Pteropodidae. The record is from RefSeq and is a predicted model, not a curated record. The transcript is spliced from 3 exons.
GAUACUGUGGAAAGAUUUCACUACGGGCUGAAUUGUCCCACCCCAAUUCAUAUGUUGAAGCCCCAGUCUUAGCAGACAGGGCCUAUAAGGAGGUAAUUAAAGAUAAUGAGAUCAUAAGGGUGGGGCCCUGAUAUGAUAGGAGUAGGGUCCUUAUGAGAGACAUUAGAGAACUUACUCUCUAUCACCUCCCUUCUUCCAAAGCCAUGUGAGGACACAGUGAAAGAUAACCCUCUGCAAGCCAGGAAGAGAGACUUUACCAGGAGCCAAAUCAGCCAGUACCUUGAUCUAGGACUUCCCACCCUCCAGAACUGGUAGAAAAUUAAUUUCUGUGGUUUAAGCCGCCCAGUCUGUGGUAUUUCGUAUGGCAGCCCGAGCUAAUACAGAUUCCUAUAAAGCCUAGAUGACAGUCCCCAUGCCGUUGCCAUGCCCAAGACUGUUUUUGCCUUGGACUGCUUUCUAAGGAACACUACAAAACCCUCAAGUUCCUUAAAUUCUUACGACUACCUGAAACCAGGAGCUCUGACUCUAUACUAUUUCCUUUUCCCCCUAGAAGCCUCCCCAGGAGAGCAGACAGCAGCCAGAGAUCACUUUCCUUGUCGCUGUUCCUUACUAAAAAAAAAAGAGGAAGUGUACUGUGCUUCAGAAGCUUUGACACGAUAGGCUUUGACCCACUGCUUUGGCCACACAGAUCCUUCCUUCCGCAUUCCUUGGCUACGAGAGAAAGAGAAGCUAAUGAGGUGGAGUGAACUCUGCCACCACCUGUAAAUCCAGAGGUCUGGAUCUAGAAAAUUCCCUUCAGCAUAUCAGAAGCACAUGUUUUUGAUUGAGAGGUAAAUGAUAGGGUCCCACUGGGGUGUGACAGGGCAGUACAGGUGGGUGCUGUGCAUGUAGUGGAUUGUGUCACACCGAGGAACACUGAACUUGAGGACUCCACUGCUUUUAUAAUGAGGGGUAAGUGUGCCUUCUCUUUGUCUGGCGGG